UGGUAAAAAGUUGUGAUAAGGCCUUUGGGUUAGAUAGGAUAAUCAAGUCUCUGGUGUUGUAUAUAAUUUAUAUUGUAAUAUGUAUUAAUUAUAUAUAUAUGGGAAUAAAAUGCCAUAAAAUUUAUUACAUACAGAGAACUAAACAAGCCUGUGUUCUAAUCCUAAUUCUGCCACUAGCUGUGUGACCUUAGGCAAGUCACUUAACCUCUUUGAGCUUAAGCUUCCUUUUCUGUAAAAUCAGAAUAUUGCCAACUACACAGUUGCAGGAAGAAUUAGAGCUAAUAUGUCUAAAGAGCUUAGCAGAGUGCCAAACACAUAGUAAAUACUGGAUAAAUGAAACCUAUAGUUUUGAUGAAAAUUAAUACUACUUAGGUUGUUCUAUGGAUAAAUUUUUUCAGAUAGGCAGCAUAAUUUCACAGUACCUAUUACCGGCUUGAUCCCUUUUCCUAACGUAGAUAUUUUAAAGUGAUUGCAAUUAAAGAUGUUGAGUAUCCUUGAGUCUUGACCUUAGAAGUGUUAAUUAGCUCAAAGACUUCAGAUUCUACCUUCUCUCCAGGACACUGGUACAUAAACCAAAAAGGGGGAGAUAGAAAAAGAGGCAGAAUAGUGUACAACAGCUGCCAAAGCAAACGGCGUCCUUGUCAAAUUAUUUGUGAAAUCAUGAGUUAAAUGAUAGUAAGGAAAUUUGUUUAUUGCAGGAACUGUCAGAGGCUUUAAUGUAUAAAUGUUCUUUGUCAUUCUUCAAGGGUGGGUGUGAUAGCUUCUUUUGAACUUAUUUUACUAUGUAAAUCUUUAUCUCAUAUGUAUCUGUUAUCUUUGUUUUUAAAUUGUUUGUGGUGGGGCAUUUUCAAGGACUAGUCUACAAAACACGGUUUGGGAAGCACUGGUACGAGCCCAGAUACGGAGGGUGGAACAUAUCAGUGUUUGGAGAAUAGCAGAGAUCGGAAGUGCGU
This is a non-coding RNA of Vicugna pacos (alpaca), 953 nucleotides long. NCBI's taxonomy places the organism in Eukaryota, Metazoa, Chordata, Mammalia, Artiodactyla, Camelidae. The record is from RefSeq and is a predicted model, not a curated record.